This 292-nucleotide ribosomal RNA is filed under the name uncultured bacterium. RNAcentral describes it as "partial 16S ribosomal RNA". It matches the Rfam family "Bacterial small subunit ribosomal RNA", at positions 505 to 796 of the family's 1533-position model. The record is from RNAcentral.
GUGCCAGCCGCCGCGGUAAGACGAACCGAGCGAACGUUGUUCGGAAUCACUGGGCUUAAAGGGCGCGUAGGCGGCUUGUCAAGUCGGUGGUGAAAUCCUGCAGCUUAACUGUAGAAGCGCCUCCGAUACUGGCGAGCUCGAGGGAGGUAGGGGUCUUUGGAACUUCUGGUGGAGCGGUGAAAUGCGUUGAUAUCAGAAGGAACGCCGGUGGCGAAAGCGAAGGACUGGACCUCUUCUGACGCUGAGGCGCGAAAGCUAGGGGAGCAAACGGGAUUAGAUACCCGUGUAGUCC